UACGUAGGGGGCGAGCGUUGUCCGGAAUUAUUGGGCGUAAAGCGCGCGCAGGCGGCUGUUUAAGUCUGGUGUUUAAUCCUGGGGCUCAACCCCGGGUCGCACUGGAAACUGGACAGCUUGAGUGCAGAAGAGGAGAGUGGAAUUCCACGUGUAGCGGUGAAAUGCGUAGAGAUGUGGAGGAACACCAGUGGCGAAGGCGACUCUCUGGGCUGUAACUGACGCUGAGGCGCGAAAGCGUGGGGAGCAAACAGG
RNAcentral lists this ribosomal RNA (252 nucleotides) under uncultured bacterium. RNAcentral's name for it is "partial 16S ribosomal RNA". It matches the Rfam family "Bacterial small subunit ribosomal RNA", at positions 524 to 776 of the family's 1533-position model. The record is from RNAcentral.